Molecule: ribosomal RNA, 404 nt
Filed under: uncultured bacterium
Lineage: Bacteria
Description: partial 16S ribosomal RNA
Rfam family: Bacterial small subunit ribosomal RNA
Source: RNAcentral
GAUGAACGCUGACAGAAUGCUUAACACAUGCAAGUCAACUGUGGCGGACGGGUGAGUAACGCGUAAAGAACUUGCCUCACAGUUAAGGCCAACAUUUGGAAACGAAUGCUAAUACCUGAUACUGUGAGAGAGCUUUGCGGCCCAUUAGCUAGUUGGAGAGGUAACGGCUCACCAAGGCGAGGAUGGGUAGCCGGCCUGAGAGGGUGAUCGGCCACAAGGGGACCGAGAUACGGCCCUUACUCCUACGGGAGGCAGCAGUGGGGAAUAUUUGACAAUGGACCAAAGUCUGAUCCAGCAAUUCGGUGUGCACGAUGAAGUUUUCGGAAGGUAAAGUGCUUUCAGUUGGGAAGCGGUACCAACAGAAGAAGUGACGGCUAAAUACGUGCCAGCAGCCGCGGUAAUUC